Molecule: ribosomal RNA, 459 nt
Filed under: uncultured bacterium
Lineage: Bacteria
Description: partial 16S ribosomal RNA
Rfam family: Bacterial small subunit ribosomal RNA
Source: RNAcentral
CCUAUGGGUGGCAGCAGUGAGGAAUAUUGGUCAAUGGGCGCGAGCCUGAACCAGCCAAGUCGCGUGAGGGAAGACGGUCCUAUGGAUUGUAAACCUCUUUUGUCGGGGAGCAAAAGACGCCACGCGUGGCGUUCCGAGAGUAACCGAAGAAAAAGCAUCGGCUAACUCCGUUCCAGCAGCCGCGGUAAUACGGGGGAUGCGAGAGGUAUCCGGAUUUAUUGGGUCAAAAGGGUGCGCGGGCGGCAGAUCAAGUCAUCGGUAAAAUUGAGAGGCUCAACCUCUUCGAGCCGUUGAAACUGGUUUGCAUGAGGGAGCGAGAAGUAUGCGGAAUGCAUGGUGUAGCGGUGAAAUGCAUAGAUAGCACGAAGAACGCCGAUUGCGAAGGCAGCAUACCGGCGCUCAACUGACGCUCAUGCACGAAAGUGUGGGUAUCGAACAGGAUUAGAGACCCCUGUAGUC